Molecule: long non-coding RNA, 684 nt
Filed under: Macaca mulatta (Rhesus monkey)
Lineage: Eukaryota; Metazoa; Chordata; Mammalia; Primates; Cercopithecidae
Description: lncRNA (ENSMMUG00000054605.1)
Source: RNAcentral
UGCUACCUUCCUACCUCGACUAACAUGUCUCCAUAAACAUCUGGAAAGUCAAUUUAAACUUACCAUUGUCUUCAUCCGAAUUCUACCCCAGAUAAUGAAGGCAUGUGGAUUAUGGACCCUGGCCUAUGAGACUGCGAUGAGAAUAGUGAUGAUUUCUGUUUGCUGAAUUGCUGUCCGUAAUCUUUGUGAUUGGGAAGAGGACAUUGGAAUGAGGCAAAUAUUAAACUGAGCAAACACAGAUCAACACAUCUACAUAAAGAAGGCAAUCAACUAGCAUACUAUUGAAAGGCAGAAAUGUGAAGAUUGGCACUUGCUAUCUAUAUGGGUACUGCAGACAUUUCAAAAGGCUACCUUCCUCUUUCAUCGCUGUCCCAAAAUGUGUUGACUGCCUGUAUGGUCUCAUCAAGUGGCCUAAUCUAAAUGAGGCUCUACUUCCUCAGGUCAAAGUGUUGACAUUUUUGAACUAGUUCAAAAGGGUCAUGUUAAAUAAUAAUAAUCAUACCAAAUUGAGCAUGGAUAUAUAUAAAUUAUGUCUACAUUAUUGAAUAUAUUUUCCUGAAUAUAGUACAGACCGUAACAAGCACUUACUAUAAUGUAAUUAUUUAUUUCUCAAUGAGAUAGUACUGGAAUUAAACAAAAAAGGGUAGAACAAAGUUUUGAGGCACUAAUAUGGAGAAAAGAGAG